GACGAACGCUGGCGGCGUGCCUAAUACAUGCAAGUUGAGCGCUGAAGGUUGGUACUUGUACCGACUGGAUGAGCAGCGAACGGGUGAGUAACGCGUGGGGAAUCUGCCUUUGAGCGGGGGACAACAUUUGGAAACGAAUGCUAAUACCGCAUAAAAACUUUAAACACAAGUUUUAAGUUUGAAAGAUGCAAUUGCAUCACUCAAAGAUGAUCCCGCGUUGUAUUAGCUAGUUGGUGAGGUAAAGGCUCACCAAGGCGAUGAUACAUAGCCGACCUGAGAGGGUGGUCCGCCACAUUGGGACUGAGACACGGCCCAAACUCCUACGGGAGGCAGCAGUAGGGAAUCUUCGGCAAUGGACGAAAGUCUGACCGAGCAACGCCGCGUGAGUGGAGAAGGGUUUCGGAUCGUAAAACUCUGUUGGUAGAGAAGAACGUUGGUGAGAGUGGAAAGCGCAUCAAGUGACGGUAACUACCCAGAAAGGGACGGCUAACUACGUG
Molecule: ribosomal RNA, 497 nt
Filed under: uncultured bacterium
Lineage: Bacteria
Description: partial 16S ribosomal RNA
Rfam family: Bacterial small subunit ribosomal RNA
Source: RNAcentral